Molecule: microRNA precursor, 89 nt
Filed under: Oryza longistaminata (longstamen rice)
Lineage: Eukaryota; Viridiplantae; Streptophyta; Magnoliopsida; Poales; Poaceae
Description: pre miRNA mir-166
Rfam family: mir-166 microRNA precursor family
About the family: This family represents the plant microRNA (miRNA) precursor mir-166. Animal miRNAs are transcribed as ~70nt precursors and subsequently processed by the Dicer enzyme to give a ~22nt product.
Source: RNAcentral
GUUGAGAGGAAUGUCGUCUGGCCCGAGAUCGCUCCAUGUACGGGUGAGCACGUGGAUACGGUCUCGGACCAGGCUUCAUUCCCCCUAAC